CGUAGGGUCCAAGCGUUAAUCGGAAUUACUGGGCGUAAAGCGUGCGCAGGCGGUUGUGCAAGACCGAUGUGAAAUCCCCGGGCUUAACCUGGGAAUUGCAUUGGUGACUGCACGGCUAGAGUGUGUCAGAGGGGGGUAGAAUUCCACGUGUAGCAGUGAAAUGCGUAGAGAUGUGGAGGAAUACCGAUGGCGAAGGCAGCCCCCUGGGAUAACACUGACGCUCAUGCACGAAAGCGUGGGGAGCAAACAGGAUUAGAUACCCUGGUAGUCCGCGCCCUAAACGAUGUCAACUAGUUGUUGGGGAUUCAUUUCCUUAGUAACGUAGCUAACGCGUGAAGUUGACCGCCUGGGGAGUACGGUCGCAAGAUUAA
RNAcentral lists this ribosomal RNA (371 nucleotides) under uncultured organism. Its description in RNAcentral is "bacterial SSU rRNA". It matches the Rfam family "Bacterial small subunit ribosomal RNA", at positions 526 to 897 of the family's 1533-position model. The record is from RNAcentral.